CGAGCGAACUGAUUAGAAGCUUGCUUCUAUGACGUUAGCGGCGGACGGGUGAGUAACACGUGGGCAACCUGCCUGUAAGACUGGGAUAACUUCGGGAAACCGAAGCUAAUACCGGAUAGGAUCUUCUCCUUCAUGGGAGAUGAUUGAAAGAUGGUUUCGGCUAUCACUUACAGAUGGGCCCGCGGUGCAUUAGCUAGUUGGUGAGGUAACGGCUCACCAAGGCAACGAUGCAUAGCCGACCUGAGAGGGUGAUCGGCCACACUGGGACUGAGACACGGCCCAGACUCCUACGGGAGGCAGCAGUAGGGAAUCUUCCGCAAUGGACGAAAGUCUGACGGAGCAACGCCGCGUGAGUGAUGAAGGCUUUCGGGUCGUAAAACUCUGUUGUUAGGGAAGAACAAGUACGAGAGUAACUGCUCGUACCUUGACGGUACCUAACCAGAAAGCCACGGCUAACUACGUGCCAGCAGCCGCGGUAAUACGUAGGUGGCAAGCGUUAUCCGGAAUUAUUGGGCGUAAAGCGCGCGCAGGCGGUUUCUUAAGUCUGAUGUGAAAGCCCACGGCUCAACCGUGGAGGGUCAUUGGAAACUGGGGAACUUGAGUGCAGAAGAGAAAAGCGGAAUUCCACGUGUAGCGGUGAAAUGCGUAGAGAUGUGGAGGAACACCAGUGGCGAA
RNAcentral lists this ribosomal RNA (675 nucleotides) under Bacillus sp. FJAT-4560. RNAcentral describes it as "bacterial SSU rRNA". It matches the Rfam family "Bacterial small subunit ribosomal RNA", at positions 63 to 719 of the family's 1533-position model. Lineage: Bacteria; Bacillati; Bacillota; Bacilli; Caryophanales; Bacillaceae. The record is from RNAcentral.